GACCCCAGGUCAGGCGGGAACACCCGCUGAGUUUAA
Molecule: ribosomal RNA, 36 nt
Filed under: Plukenetia decidua
Lineage: Eukaryota; Viridiplantae; Streptophyta; Magnoliopsida; Malpighiales; Euphorbiaceae
Description: partial 26S ribosomal RNA
Source: RNAcentral